UCUCGUGAAAGCCUAGCAGCCCCUCUUCUCGAAAUUUCUCUUGUCGACCUCUUCCUCACGCCCCAAUCUCUCUCUCUCUCUCUCUAUCUCUCCCCCGCCAACGUCGGCGACUACUGCGACUCAGUGCCGAUCAGCCAAACGCACUGCCACUUUUCUUUUCCUUGUAAAUCCUCUUCUCUCCCUUCCAGAACUCCUCUAAUUAUUCUGACAGAAUCUUCCUCAAGAAGGCAAGCCCCAAAAGAGCUGCGGUGAGUCCGAUUAGGUGGAGAAAGAGUCGAAGAAACAAGAGGAAGGAAUUGUGGUUAAUAAAAAAUUCAAAGGUUUGAAAUCUGCUCAGAUCAUUCAAUUCAGUUCAUUGCUUGGAUCAUUACUUAAACCUGUUUCUAAUAAUUCAAAGCCUAAAAAUGACCAAUUUGAAACUUCAAGAACAAAUGCACAAAUUCUACAAAUAAUGUGUAACGCUAAGAAUAAAUAAAUAUGCUAAUUAAGAUGUGAGUACUCAA
Long non-coding RNA from Cucumis sativus (cucumber), 503 nucleotides. RefSeq lists it as uncharacterized. Lineage: Eukaryota; Viridiplantae; Streptophyta; Magnoliopsida; Cucurbitales; Cucurbitaceae. The record is from RefSeq and is a predicted model, not a curated record. The transcript is spliced from 2 exons.